UAGGGAAUCUUCCACAAUGGACGCAAGUCUGAUGGAGCAACGCCGCGUGAGUGAAGAAGGUCUUCGGAUCGUAAAACUCUGUUGUUAGAGAAGAACACGAGUGAGAGUAACAGUUCAUUCGAUGACGGUAUCUAACCAGCAAGUCACGGCUAACUACGUGCCAG
This 164-nucleotide ribosomal RNA is filed under the name uncultured bacterium. RNAcentral describes it as "partial 16S rRNA". It matches the Rfam family "Bacterial small subunit ribosomal RNA", at positions 355 to 511 of the family's 1533-position model. The record is from RNAcentral.